RNAcentral lists this ribosomal RNA (112 nucleotides) under uncultured eukaryote. RNAcentral's name for it is "partial small subunit ribosomal RNA". It matches the Rfam family "Eukaryotic small subunit ribosomal RNA", at positions 1676 to 1785 of the family's 1831-position model. The record is from RNAcentral.
UCGCUACUACCGAUUGAAUGGCUUAGUGAGCUCCGUGGACUGUUUGGCAUUGUGGGGUCUCUCAUAGUGCUAUACGGGAAGCGGAUCAAACUUGAUCAUUUAGAGGAAGUAA